GACGGGGAGUUUUCGGAUCGCGGCGAAUGCCGGCGGUUCGCCGCCGGUGACGUUGUGAGAAGUUCAUUAAACCUUAUCAUUUAGAGGAAGGAGAAGUCGUAACAAGGUUUCCGUAGGUGAACCUGCGGAAGGAUCAUUGCACACACAAGUUGCAGCAAACCACGGCGAACGAACACGUUGUCCCCCCCCCUUCCGGUGGCCUCGGCCGCGGCGGCUAAACCCCGUCGCGUCCGUCGUCGCCGCGUCGGAAUACCGAAUGAUACCGAAUCACUUCGACCAAAUGACUUAGUCCCAUUUUGGACCCCUUAACUUCUAGUUAGGGGGCGAGAAAACGAGAAACAAAGAUGAACACAACUCUCAGCAACGGAUAUCUUGGCUCCUGCAACGAUGAAGAACGCAGCGAAAUGCGAUACCUAGUGUGAAUUGCAGAAUUCCGCGAAUCAUUGAGUCUUUGAACGCAAGUUGCGCCCGAGGCUCGACCGAGGGCAUUUCCGUUAGAGCGUCACCGCGCGCCCCCACCGAGCUCCCCAACCAAGGGAGGAGUUCGAGUGCAAUUGGCCGUCCCGAUUUGUUACCCUUUGUUGUGGAAUCGGAAUCGGGUCGGCCGAAGUACCUUGGCAGACUCCGUGGCGACACGGCCCACGAUCGGGUGAUCCGAGCCCUUCUAAAGGGGCUCGGAAUUUUUCUAAGUGUGAGGCCGCGCCGCCCCGUGUGUCCCGAAGGAGGAAAGUGUUACAUGUUAAGUGUUACAUUGAAGUGAGCAGUGAAGUGUUACCAGAGUUACGCACCAGACCUCUAAUCGGGAAAAGACUACCCGCUGAGUUUAAGCA
Molecule: ribosomal RNA, 830 nt
Filed under: Aulacomnium palustre
Lineage: Eukaryota; Viridiplantae; Streptophyta; Bryopsida; Aulacomniales; Aulacomniaceae
Description: eukaryotic LSU rRNA
Rfam family: 5.8S ribosomal RNA (bases 353-505)
Source: RNAcentral